UUGGGUUGUUGUGUUGGGUUAUUCCUAGCUUGUAUUGGGUUAUUUCUAUAACAACCCAGACCGAUGGGUUAAAAUCGGGCUCACGUCACGCAUUUUGAAUUUCAAUGGUCGACAGGUGCCACUGCUGAGUGCGGACAGACACGAGAGACAUUCUUGGAGAUGUUGCAUUAAAAACCUUUCAAAAUGGCCAGCAAGAUGGUUCAGCCUUCCUACAGUACCAAGAAGCAAAGCAAGAAUUUAUACAUUUUCAACCUGUCAGAAAACAAACAUAAUUCAGUAUUUGGAGGAGGAGGUAGGACGAAGACCCCAUGUCCUGUUAUGGGAUGAAUUCGACUAAUCACAAGCCUUUGUUAUCGUGGGGAGGCAUGGCCCAGGAGCAAGACCAGCAGUUGACAUGUGCUUUAAUAUUUUUUACAUUUUAGACAGAGUAUCCCAAGCCUUUCACUACUGUUAAGUAGUUUCUGUAACACAAUACAUUUUGUACCAGGUGAUGUUUCCUUAACACACUGUCACCUGUUUAAAGGGACAGUUCCCCCAAAAAAUGAAAAUUAUGUCAUAAUUUUCUUCCUCUCCUGUCGUUACAAACCUGUAUACAUUUUUUUUGUUCUGAUGACCAUAAAGGAAGAUAUUUUGAGUAAUGUUUGAAACCAAACAGAUCAUGAGCCCCAUUGACUGUCAUAGUAGGA
Misgurnus anguillicaudatus (oriental weatherfish) is the source of this 686-nucleotide non-coding RNA. NCBI's taxonomy places the organism in Eukaryota, Metazoa, Chordata, Actinopteri, Cypriniformes, Cobitidae. The record is from RefSeq and is a predicted model, not a curated record.